Molecule: ribosomal RNA, 503 nt
Filed under: uncultured Pseudomonadota bacterium
Lineage: Bacteria; Pseudomonadati; Pseudomonadota
Description: bacterial SSU rRNA
Rfam family: Bacterial small subunit ribosomal RNA
Source: RNAcentral
GUGAGUGAAGAAGGCCUUCGGGUUGUAAAGCUCUUUCAGCUGGAACGAAACGGUGCGCUCUAACAUAGCGUGCUAAUGACGGUACCAGCAGAAGAAGCACCGGCUAACUACGUGCCAGCAGCCGCGGUAAUACGUAGGGUGCGAGCGUUAAUCGGAAUUACUGGGCGUAAAGCGUGCGCAGGCGGAUUGUUAAGCAAGAUGUGAAAUCCCCGGGCUUAACCUGGGAAUGGCAUUUUGAACUGGCAGUCUAGAGUGCGUCAGAGGGGGUGGAAUUCCACGUGUAGCAGUGAAAUGCGUAGAGAUGUGGAGGAACACCGAUGGCGAAGGCAGCCCCCUGGGAUGACACUGACGCUCAUGUACGAAAGCGUGGGUAGCAAACAGGAUUAGAUACCCUGGUAGUCCACGCCCUAAACGAUGUCAACUGGUUGUUGGGGGAGUGAAAUCCCUUAGUAACGAAGCUAACGCGUGAAGUUGACCGCCUGGGGAGUACGGUCGCAAGAUUA